GACGAACGCUGGCGGCGUGCUUAACACAUGCAAGUCGAACGAAGUGGCGAACGGGUGCGUAACGCGUAAUCAACCUGCACUUCAGAGGGGGACGACAGUUGGAAACGACUGCUAAUACCGCCUCCUGCAGGAGGGGAUUGCGUCUGAUUAGCUAGUUGGAGGGGUAACGGCCCACCAAGGAUAUGAUCAGUAGCCGGUGUGAGAGGAUGAACGGCCACAUUGGAACUGAGACACGGCCCAGACUCCUACGGGAGGCAGCAGUGGGGAAUCUUCCGCAAUGGACGAAAGUCUGACGGAGCAACGCCGCGUGAGUGAUGACGGCCUGCGGGUUGUAAAGCUCUGUCAAUCGGGACGCGGUACCGGAAUAGAAAGCCACGGCUAACUACGUGCCAGCAGCCGCGGUAAUAC
Molecule: ribosomal RNA, 408 nt
Filed under: uncultured bacterium
Lineage: Bacteria
Description: partial 16S ribosomal RNA
Rfam family: Bacterial small subunit ribosomal RNA
Source: RNAcentral